GACGGGUAUCCGGCCUGAGAGGGUGAACGGACACACUGGAACUGAGACCGGUCCAGACUCUACGGGAGGCAGCAGUAGGGAAUAUUGCUCAAUGGGGGAAACCCUGAAGCAGCAACGCCGCGUGGAGGAUGAAGGUUUUAGGAUUGUAAACUCCUUUUGUUAGAGAAGAUUAUGACGGUAUCUAACGAAUAAGCACCGGCUAACUCCGUGCCGGCAGCCGCGGUAAUACGGAGGGUGCAAGCGUUACUCGGAAUCACUGGGCGUAAAGAGUGCGCAGGCGGGAUAGCAAGUCAGAUGUGAAAUGCUAUGGCUUAACCAUAGAACUGCAUUUGAAACUGUUAUUCUA
Molecule: ribosomal RNA, 346 nt
Filed under: uncultured Helicobacter sp.
Lineage: Bacteria; Pseudomonadati; Campylobacterota; Epsilonproteobacteria; Campylobacterales; Helicobacteraceae
Description: bacterial SSU rRNA
Rfam family: Bacterial small subunit ribosomal RNA
Source: RNAcentral